RNAcentral lists this ribosomal RNA (208 nucleotides) under uncultured bacterium. RNAcentral's name for it is "partial 16S ribosomal RNA". It matches the Rfam family "Bacterial small subunit ribosomal RNA", at positions 568 to 774 of the family's 1533-position model. The record is from RNAcentral.
CACGUAGGCUGUUUGGUAAGUCAGGGGUGAAAUCCCGCGGCUCAACCGCGGAAUUGCCCUUGAUACUGCUGGACUUGAGUCCGGGAGAGGGUGGCGGAAUUCCAGGUGUAGGAGUGAAAUCCGUAGAUAUCUGGAGGAACAUCAGUGGCGAAGGCGGCCACCUGGACCGGUACUGACGCUGAGGUGCGAAAGCGUGGGGAAGCAAACA